Molecule: transfer RNA, 70 nt
Filed under: Dipodomys ordii (Ord's kangaroo rat)
Lineage: Eukaryota; Metazoa; Chordata; Mammalia; Rodentia; Heteromyidae
Rfam family: tRNA
About the family: Transfer RNA (tRNA) molecules are approximately 80 nucleotides in length. Their secondary structure includes four short double-helical elements and three loops (D, anti-codon, and T loops).
Source: Rfam by way of RNAcentral
GGGAAGGUGGCUCAAUGGUAGAGCGCUUGCCUUGCAUGCAUGAGGCCCUGGGUUCAAUUCCUCACUACCA